GUCGAUCGCUCUUUUCGGAGAGAGAGGCGCACGGGUGAGUAACACGUGGGAAUAUACCCUUGAGUACGGAAUAACUAUUGGAAACGAUAGCUAAUACCGUAUACGCCCUACGGGGGAAAGAUUUAUCGCUCAAGGAUUAGCCCGCGUCUGAUUAGCUAGUUGGUGAGGUAAUGGCUCACCAAGGCGACGAUCAGUAGCUGGUUUGAGAGAAUGAUCAGCCACACUGGGACUGAGACACGGCCCAGACUCCUACGGGAGGCAGCAGUGGGGAAUAUUGGACAAUGGGCGCAAGCCUGAUCCAGCCAUGCCGCGUGAGUGAAGAAGGCCUUCGGGUUGUAAAGCUCUUUCAGACGUGAAGAUGAUGACGGUAACGUCAGAAGAAGCCCCGGCUAACUUCGUGCCAGCAGCCGCGGUAAUACGAAGGGGGCAAGCGUUGUUCGGAAUUACUGGGCGUAAAGCGCGCGUAGGCGGCGUCGUCAGUCAGAGGUGAAAUCCCAGGGCUCAACCUUGGAAUUGCCUUUGAUACUGCGAUGCUUGAGUUCGAGAGAGGGUGGCGGAAUACCCAGUGUAGAGGUGAAAUUCGUAGAUAUUGGGUAGAACACCAGUGGCGAAGGCGGCCACCUG
Molecule: ribosomal RNA, 624 nt
Filed under: uncultured bacterium
Lineage: Bacteria
Description: bacterial SSU rRNA
Rfam family: Bacterial small subunit ribosomal RNA
Source: RNAcentral